AUUGAACGCUGGCGGAAUGCUUUACACAUGCAAGUCGAACGGCAGCACGGGAGCUUGCUCCUGGUGGCGAGUGGCGAACGGGUGAGUAACAUAUCGGAACGUACCCAGUCGUGGGGGAUAACUAUCCGAAAGGAUAGCUAAUACCGCAUACGUCCUGAGGGAGAAAGCGGGGGAUCGCAAGACCUCGCGCGAUUGGAGCGGCCGAUAUCGGAUUAGCUAGUUGGUGGGGUAAAGGCUCACCAAGGCGACGAUCCGUAGCGGGUCUGAGAGGACGACCCGCCACACUGGAACUGAGACACGGUCCAGACUCCUACGGGAGGCAGCAGUGGGGAAUUUUGGACAAUGGGGGCAACCCUGAUCCAGCCAUGCCGCGUGAGUGAAGAAGGCCUUCGGGUUGUAAAGCUCUUUCAGCAGGAACGAAACGGUCGGCUUUAAUAAAAUCGGCUAAUGACGGUACCUGCAGAAGAAGCACCGGCUAACUACGUG
Molecule: ribosomal RNA, 486 nt
Filed under: uncultured bacterium
Lineage: Bacteria
Description: partial 16S ribosomal RNA
Rfam family: Bacterial small subunit ribosomal RNA
Source: RNAcentral